Anopheles gambiae (African malaria mosquito) is the source of this 1038-nucleotide long non-coding RNA. RefSeq lists it as uncharacterized. NCBI's taxonomy places the organism in Eukaryota, Metazoa, Arthropoda, Insecta, Diptera, Culicidae. The record is from RefSeq and is a predicted model, not a curated record. The transcript has 2 exons.
CGCUUGGCAAAGAGUAACUCAUUUUAAUGCCUCUCGCUACCCCUGGCCCUAGCUUUGAAGGAAUCAUGCGACACACUCGCACUCCACUACCCCAUCCCAUGGAAAAACGCUCACACCAUCGAGGUGUUGACCAAAAUUUCGCUGUGUGCAUGAGACACACACUCGCACUCCUCCAGCCCUCCACUGCUGAACGCUCCCACCGUUGCGAAUUUGCGAGGAUUUUUGCUCUGAGCGUGAGACCCUGAAGCGCCAGAGAUGACACUAUGUGUAAAGACGAUCAUAAUUCGAUAUGGUCAAAAUGCGUCGAUUAUUGUUUCAUAUAUCUGGUAAUGAUGUUUUCACUUCAUCAAAAUUUUAAACAUUAACAACUAGGCUGAUAACAAUAGUUGAAAUGUAAAUCAGAAUAAAAUCAAUUCAUUUGAAGUAAAAUAAAUUCCAUUAUACUUUAUUUUGACCAUAUGAUCAACACUUGUACAUAGUGCCAUUUACUUUGUGUUCUUCACUCUUGCGUUGUGUUUUGAUCGUUCGAAACUCAUUGCCAGAACGAAUGCAAAUUUCAUUUGGGAAGGAUCGGUGCCGGAAGAUGCAGUGAAAAUUAUAAAAUGUUUAUAGAAAAGUGGUUAAGUAAAUCGUGAAAGAUGUCAACGCAGGCGUAAAUGCAGUUUGUUUUGUUACUUGAUCUACGGGUAAGUGUAUGCAUAAGAAGAAGAAUCUUGCAAAUGAUGUUUAUGUUCUAACAAUCGUAUUGCUUUUAAUGUUUGUUUAUUCUUCUAUUAUUUUCUAUCACACCUAGCUAUUUCAUUACCAAAGCACCUGAUAACCGAUCAAAGAAGGUGAAUCGGGCUUAUAGAGUCGCCGUUUAACUUCAAAUAUCUUCGUGAUCGGAAAACGCAUCAAACACCAAGUGUUUUUCUUCCAACAGCACGCGCCAUAGGUGGAGCAAGCAGCCAACGUUUCGUUCGUCUAGCACGCACCAUCAAGAAUUGAAAUAUUCCCGAAUAGCUCUGUGAAUAAAAAACUGCACACUUACUGUCGGAA